UUUCCGUAGGUGAACCUGCGGAAGGAUCAUUAAAUAAUUUGAGUAUGCUUCUCAGCAUAUUUCUAAUUUACUGUGAACUGUUUUACUGUUUAGCGUUUUGAGGGAUGCUUAAAGACUAUAGGGAUAGGUCUUUGAGAUGUUAACCUAGCUAAAGUCAGGCUUAGGCCUGGUAUCCUAAUUCAUUAUUUACCAAAAGAAUUCAGAAUUAAUAUUGUAACAUAAGCGUAAAAAACUUAUAAAACAACUUUUAACAACGGAUCUCUUGGUUCUCGCAUCGAUGAAGAACGCAGC
RNAcentral lists this unclassified non-coding RNA (291 nucleotides) under uncultured fungus. RNAcentral describes it as "sequence contains ITS1, 5.8S rRNA gene". The stretch from base 243 to 291 matches the Rfam family "5.8S ribosomal RNA", at positions 1 to 49 of the family's 154-position model. The record is from RNAcentral. Lineage: Eukaryota; Fungi.